CAGCACCUCAAGUGGUCAGGAUGAUUAUUGGGCCUAAAGCAUCCGUAGCCGGCGCUGUAAGUUUUCGGUUAAAUCUGUACGCUCAACGUACAGGCUGCCGGGAAUACUGCAGCGCUAGGGAGUGGGAGAGGUAGACGGCACUCGGUAGGAAGGGGUAAAAUCCUUUGAUCUAUUGAUGACCACCUGUGGCGAAGGCGGUCUACCAGAACACGUCCGACGGUGAGGGAUGAAAGCUGGGGGCACAAACCGGAUUAGAUACCCGAGUAGUCC
Molecule: ribosomal RNA, 270 nt
Filed under: uncultured archaeon
Lineage: Archaea
Description: partial 16S ribosomal RNA
Rfam family: Archaeal small subunit ribosomal RNA
Source: RNAcentral